RNAcentral lists this ribosomal RNA (2052 nucleotides) under Triticum aestivum (bread wheat). RNAcentral describes it as "partial small subunit ribosomal RNA". Lineage: Eukaryota; Viridiplantae; Streptophyta; Magnoliopsida; Poales; Poaceae. The record is from RNAcentral.
CCUUUGCCUCCCUCCCGCUGCUUGCUAUUGCUAUCCAAUCCCGCUCUUUGUUUCCUUCGCCACUCUCUCUCCCCCGCUCUCUACCUCACCCUCCUUCCUCCUCCCCGUCUCACGGCACGGCCAGAGGAGGCUGCUCGCUCGGGUCCAGGCGCCUCAGCCUCGGGCCGCCGGUGGUUGCGUCCCAGCGACGCGGCAGAUUCCUCGAGCAGUUUUGGGUAUCUCUAUUACUGCAGUGGACGAGAAAGGAUCGUGAGAAUGGCAAAUUUGGUCACUAAUUGUGGUUUCAGUCCAUCUCCUGCUGUUAAAGCACACUGCAACUCACCAAGUUAUGGCCACAAUUUCAUCCGAUUACAAAAUUCGAAAUCUUCAACUUCAAGUCUGAACCUCAAGUCAUCUUCCAAGAGGUCAAAUAAGUUAUAUGUUACUUGUGCUAGUACUGCUGUACAAGGACAGACACAAACACCUCUUACUGGUAGUCAGCAAGCAUCUGGGCAUUCAUCCUCUAAACCCAAAAAAGUUAUGGUUAUUGGUGGAGAUGGGUACUGUGGCUGGGCAACUGCUCUUCAUCUGUCCAACAAAGGUUAUGAGGUUGCUAUUGUUGAUAAUCUUGUUCGACGCCUUUUUGACCAUCAACUUGGCCUUGAUUCACUUACUCCCAUAGCUUCCAUCCAAAAUCGCAUUCGCCGAUGGAAAUCUCUUACGGGAAAGACAAUUCAGCUCUUCAUUGGUGAUAUAUGUGACUUUGAUUUCCUUUCAGAAGCCUUCAAGUCUUUUGAGCCAGAUUCUGCUGUCCACUUUGGUGAACAAAGAUCAGCACCAUUUUCUAUGAUUGAUCGUUCACGAGCAGUAUAUACACAAAACAACAAUGUUAUUGGAACACUUAAUGUAUUGUUUGCCAUGAAGGAGUUUAGUGAAGAGUGUCAUUUGGUUAAACUAGGAACUAUGGGUGAAUACGGAACUCCAAAUAUUGACAUUGAAGAGGGAUUCCUCACUAUUACUCACAAUGGAAGAACUGAUACCUUACCUUACCCAAAGCAAGCAAGCUCCUUCUAUCAUCUAAGUAAAGUGCACGACUCUCACAACAUAGCAUUUACUUGCAAGGCUUGGGGUAUAAGGGCCACAGAUCUUAACCAGGGCGUCGUCUAUGGAAUCAGAACAGAUGAAACUGCUAUGCAUGAAGAGCUGUCCAAUAGGUUGGACUAUGAUGGAAUCUUUGGAACAGCACUAAAUAGGUUCUGUGUUCAGGCAGCUGUAGGUCACCCGCUUACAGUUUAUGGAAAAGGCGGUCAGACCCGUGGAUACCUGGACAUCAGGGACACCGUGCAAUGCGUGGAGCUAGCAAUCGCAAACCCAGCCAAACCAGGCGAGUUCAGAGUCUUCAACCAAUUCACCGAGCAGUUCUCCGUGAACGAGCUGGCCAAGCUGGUGACCGCCGCGGGAGCGAAGCUGGGGCUGGACGUGCAGACCAAGUCGGUGCCCAACCCGCGCGUCGAGGCGGAGGAGCACUACUACAACGCCAAGCACUCGAAGCUGUCGGAGCUCGGGCUGGCGCCCCACCUGCUGUCGGACUCGCUCCUCGACUCACUGCUCAACUUCGCCGUCCAGUACAAGGACCGGGUCGACAUGGCGCAGAUCAUGCCCAGCGUGUCCUGGAAGAAGAUGGGGGCCAAGCCAAAGACGGUCUCUGUAUAGAGCGAGGGAGGGAGGGAGGGGAGGGGGCUUCCCCUUUGUUGUGUGGCGUAUGAUGUCAACCGUGACAUUGACAUUAUAUCUUGUUGUGUGUAAUGUAGCAGUAAUAAUGUAGCGAUAAUAGUUUGAUGCACGAUGUAGUGAGGUGUGGAAGUUGCCGAUUACGCUGUUAGAUUUUAUUUUUGCGCCACCACGGGCGGGAACUGCAAUUGAACAGCAUCUGUGUAGUAUGUUGUUAUUUCUGACUAGCGAAUUUAGCUACAGUGGGUGUUAGUGCAGAUUUCCGGCUACGUAUGCCCUGGUUAUGCACUUAUACUGCAAAGCUCCUUUUUGGCUCGGCGAAGAUGAAGCUUACACAACUAC